AUGAAUUGGAUACUUCAAGAGAAAAUAAGAGAAUUAUCAGAUAAGGAGAGGCAUGGUGUUUAUUUUGCCUUGCUAGUAAUCGAGCUCAGAGAUGGGUCUGUUCAACCAGACGACAAGCUGCUAAUCUCAACCCUGUUGAACAUAAGUGUACGAUCUGUUGAAAGAAUCUGGGAAGACGCCAAAAAGCAAAUUGCCGAUUGCAAAGAAGUAGAUGGCUCAGGCAAUAAGCCAGGAAGAUCUAGCCGAAAUAGAAAGGAGCUGGAUCUAGCGAGGACCUGAACAAUCCCACUGAAUAAAAGAAGGACAAUUCGAUCUCUGGCACGGUCUAUAGGUGUGGCCCGAUCAACCCUACAUAAGAGGUUCCAGUUGAAUGAGCUCAACCGCAUCACAAGCACUGUGAAGCCUCACCUCAAGCCAGAGAACAAGCUUUGA
This 432-nucleotide ribosomal RNA is filed under the name Triticum aestivum (bread wheat). RNAcentral describes it as "partial small subunit ribosomal RNA". Lineage: Eukaryota; Viridiplantae; Streptophyta; Magnoliopsida; Poales; Poaceae. The record is from RNAcentral.